Molecule: non-coding RNA, 252 nt
Organism: Prunus avium (sweet cherry)
Lineage: Eukaryota; Viridiplantae; Streptophyta; Magnoliopsida; Rosales; Rosaceae
Source: RefSeq, a predicted model, not a curated record
GAAGGAGGAGCACAUGUUACUAUGGUCAGAACGAAAGCUUGCACCUCUUGCAAUAUGCAUAUCUAUCAUGGAAAGAGGACAAAGGAAGGGAAUUUAUUGAUCCAUCACUGGAUGAUUCUUCUUCUUCUUGUAAAUUAUCGAGAUGCUUGCAAGUAGCUCUAUUUUGUGUCCAGGAAAAUCCGGAGGCUAGGCCUACAAUGUUGGAAGUUUAUUCCAUGCUCAAAACUGACAUUGAACCCGUUCCCACUCCUA